AUUGAACGCUGGCGGCAUGCCUUACACAUGCAAGUCGAACGGCAGCACGGGGCAACCUGGUGGCGAGUGGCGAACGGGUGAGUAAUGCAUCGGAACGUGCCAUUGAGUGGGGGAUAACGUAGCGAAAGUUGCGCUAAUACCGCAUAUUCUGUGAGCAGGAAAGCAGGGGACCGCAAGGCCUUGCGCUCUUUGAGCGGCCGAUGUCAGAUUAGCUAGUUGGUGAGGUAACGGCUUACCAAGGCGACGAUCUGUAGCGGGUCUGAGAGGAUGAUCCGCCACACUGGAACUGAGACACGGUCCAGACUCCUACGGGAGGCAGCAGUGGGGAAUUUUGGACAAUGGGCGCAAGCCUGAUCCAGCCAUGCCGCGCGAGUGAAGAAGGCCUUCGGUUGGUAAAGACUCUUUCUAGCAGGAACGAAACGGUAGGCCGACUAA
Molecule: ribosomal RNA, 435 nt
Filed under: uncultured bacterium
Lineage: Bacteria
Description: bacterial SSU rRNA
Rfam family: Bacterial small subunit ribosomal RNA
Source: RNAcentral